CACGAGAACAGUUUGCCUGACCAGGUCCGACCGACCAAACUUCUCACCUACUCUUUUUCCCUUGGUGAUUUCUCUCCCUGUUCAUCUCUCCCAGUCUCGGUGUGUUCGUUUUAAUACGUUAGACGGGUCACCACGGAUGUCCUACCUUUUCUUAGUCUGCACAAUUGGUAGUCGUCUAUAUAUACACAACCCGGUCUUCCGUUGCAUCGUAGUAGUAGAGGUGUUCAUGUGUUCGGUUCGAUUCCGUGGUUUAAGUGUCUUAUAGUCACUUCAGAACCGAAAUGAACAUGUAUGUGGAGACAAACGAUUAUAAAAGUACGUUUAUAGUCUCAGGACAGGACCAAGAAACGUACCACCCCUACCCAGUUGUUCGACGUCUCCGUCGAUUCUUCUUUAAACUGUACCUUUAGUUCGACGGGGACAGGCCAUAACUCUAAGACGUCUGAAACGAACUACGGUACCACUCUUCCGACAUCGUCCUUGAACAAUGGACGAGUCUAGGUCUUUCUGUUCAAACAUGAACUUUUUUACCUUACGAUUCACUAACAACUUAAGUCGUCCAUAUCUUCCUAUAUACACCAGAAGAUUGUACACCACGAUCAAAAAGGUUAACCCAUCUCACCUAUUAACUUUUUUCUUAUCUCCCCUUCAACCACCUAGUCUUGACUUGAAAAUCCUCGAAGUCUCCGGUACCCUUAUUAUACACGUAAACUCCUCAUCGACCUUUGUUUCACAUGUAGUCUCUACACGUUGGAUCGUCCCGCUUAUCUGUGCCUUCACCAAUUUUAGACCUCACUAUCAGACUAUAUACAUACCGAAGUUCGGAACUUCCAGUGCAUCGUGACGGAAGUGGUGUUGAGCGUCCAGUGAUCGUACCGGUACUUCGUACGAUUUAUAGUCAAGAAUAAAAGAAGAAGACGAUGGCACGAUGUGGAUUCCUCCUCUCUUGACUUCGAUGAAAGUAGCGGUAGAAAGGACAGGUUGUGAUCAAGACGAGGAUAGAGAAGAAAUGUCGUUCCAGUAGAGGCUAAUCAGGGUAGACGUCCUGGGUGUCUUGUUCAUCAUAAUUGAGGAUUACCGUGGUCGUCAUUACCUUUGUCUUUGUUCCCUUCCUCCUCUUCGUCCUCUUUCUCCUUCCUCUGUCGUUUUCUUCUUUUCCUUACACAUGGUAGACGUCUUCUUCACAGGUAGUCUUAUCGACUCCGGAUACUUUCACCACUGGGGGAACCCGCCUUCCUCGACCCGGCCACACACUACGUUACCGAUUUCGACCCGUACACGAGUUACCGGAAGUGUAAACGAAGGUGCCUUCACGUCUUGCUACCUCGUCGUAAGAGUAACCUACCCCCUAGUAGACUUCCGUUGGACCUCAAAUACUAAGACCGUGUCGGAAUGGAGCGACGGUAGGGGUACGGGGUCCCUGUACUUCGAGAGACGGAGUUUCGGAGGUGGGUGAUGGGGUGGGAGAAACUGGUGAAGGUUGCACUCGAGGCACUCCAGAACAACUUUGUGGUCUUGGUCCCGGAAUAAUGACUAACCGCAAGGUGUCUUAGGACCUAUGAAGACUUUUUUAAUCGAUUCAGAUGGGUCGUAGCCGUUCCACGGGCGUUUGGAUUUCGAGGACGCUACGUGUCGGAGGAACCAUAUUCGGAGCUGUUCUGUUCCGACUACGUCUGGUUUUAACUUCUGAAACAGUUCUUUUACAGUCUGGAAGAUCUGUAGCUCGCUCUACGUCUCGACCUUAAGUGGGUCCUUCUCAACUUACGGUGGGGUUGUUGCCUAUCACGUCGUUUCGUCGGUGACUUCGGUCAGCGCAUAAACCACUCAGUACCAGUCCGCCUUGUUCUCGUCACACUGUGGCAAACGUUAAACUUACAACAGUCAUGGAGUUGACCGAACCCUCCGGAUGCAAACCAAGACAAAUCUAACCUUCCGUGGGUAUUUGACGGAGGUAGUUGUGACAGGGGACCCCUGUACCAAACACACUCCUGUACGUUAUUGGUCCCGCUCCAACCGUGAAUAACGCACGUUCCGAAAUAUGUAUUAGAACCACUCCUACCGACGUCAUAAUGACAAAGAAACUUUAGGGCCGGACCACUAGGAUGGAAGAGGUUCAAAAGACCCUUUUCACACGCCUAGCUGUCCUAUGUCCGUAACCGACUACCUGAAUGUAUGCUCGCGUUAACACUUCGUGACUAUGAAGACGUCUCCUUUCCAAACGUCUUUUGUUUACGAAGGUAACCCCAUCAUCGGUGAGACAAACCCCUGUUCCUUCUGUACUGCUACGACCUCGUCUUAUUAGACUGACUAACCCCACUUAGUCGUUAUGUCCUGUUACCAAAUGACCCCUUCUUAUUCAUACUGAAACUACGGAGCGUCAGCGUCCGAUAAUGUGAUCCGAACUUGUUCUUUUCCGGACAGGAUCAAUAGGUUCCCGGUGGACCAUGUCCGUUCUGACCAAACGAAUCAAUAGAGUAAUUCACACGACAGGCUGUCCCACUUGCACAAGAACAUUGUCGAGGUUCGUUACGUCGUCAACUAUUGUACCACCUCUUUAACAGUCCAUGACCCGAAUUGUAACAUGCUCAACCUUUAGGACGGUCCUAUAGAGGUAGGCAAAGUAGUUCCAGGAACCCUCUCGAACACUUCUCCUCCGAACUUUUCAAGUGUGUUCUCAAAGUCUCCUUUUUUAGAUUGAAUUCUUUCCUGGAUUUCGUAACAUAUGUCCUACUAAGAAAUCGACGUCCUUAUGCUGUUGAUGACUUUUUUGAACCCUUCUUGAAGUCUUUCUUCCUCUUACUUUAUUAGUUCCUCCAUGAAAGUUUACGACUACAACAGGAUAGUUGAUUAUAUCCCCGUCGACUAGGCGAAUAGUUCCUUUAACCAAAAAAACUGGAGCAGUAAUAUCUACUUCGACCUGUUCGUUAACUUGGGAGUACGACCUAGGGAUAUGAUGCCCCUUUCGCAACGUAAGAACGACCUCUAGUUGUGGUCGAACGUGGACAUUAUAAUAGUUCCCUCCGGUACGUUCCACCGGAUCCCUACAGAAAUAACCUCUCCCGAAGUAGUAACGUACUACUUGAUGACUGAUGCUUUAAUUGUUACGUUAUGUCUUACGUGCUCAGUUAUCGGUUAACCCGUAGCUUGCUCUACAUAAAACCCAACGAGUUUAGCAGUGGUAGGCAACGAAGAACGGAAGAACAGCUAAUAGGUAGAUAGGUCCUUUGAACCUAUUGAGCCACACGGAACGAAAAUGAACUGUGGGCUUACGGUAUACCUUCAGAUUUAUAACUGACGCUCCUCGUAAAUCUGGAACGACCUUGUCCGAGUAAAAUAUUGUCGCCGCUCCGUCUAUAUCAACGUGUUGUACAUCAGUUAGAACAUGAUACACCUCAGAGAGGUUGAAGGUAACGACAAGUCAGCGGAAUGUAACGAGUCCAUGUUGAAAAUUCUCUAUCUGAUCUUCUUAUAGGUCUCCGAAACCCACAACUCCACAGUUGGUAUCUAUCGAAGGUCCCCGCCCUCCGUCUACGACACCAGUAUAGUUACCAAGCCAGCUUGAGGAACCCUCGCCAUCCCAAGGAACCGCUGUUGUCCGCGUACUUGCACCGGUAAUGGUCCCGUGCCUCCGUACAGUGUGAACACACGCUAUCGAGAUGCUAAACGUUGUUACUCAAGGACCGGUCCGAGGAAGCGGUGUAGGCAGUCGUACCGGUUCAUUCCGUACAACUUGGGCCAAGGAUGCCACCACUAAUACCGGAACCGAAGUCGGGUGGACGGAACGGGAGGUAGUCAAUCACGAGGCGAGUAAACCGUUGUUUAGCCGUUAGGAUUUCACAAGGCAAAGAGGUACGUAUGUACAGCGCGUUAAGAACUCACCAUUUUGACCCUCCAGGUAGUACAUGAUGCCAAGACUCCGACCAUGAAACCCCAUAGACUCUACCGAGCUACCCGACAGGACUUACUUGACACACCGGUCUGGUUCAACAAAUAGUACGUGAAAAACGCAAAUCGUCGUUUUUGUUAAUUGACAGGACCCAAAUACAUUGUAUGCAUAACGAAUGGACUGCUACCAACUUAUAAUAACUCACAACGUGUGACCUAAUAAACUAAUAAUGUCUCUACAUGUCGUUGAAUUUAGAGUACUAAUUUCCGUUUAAGAAAACCGUCUAAGAGGGUCCUACACGGGGGAGGGGCCGAAGAAGAUCUUAGAGUUAGAAUGGAAUGGGCCAGAAGUCCCUCUAGCGCACGACGUGAUGGGUAAGGCGGACUCAAGGAAAAGCACC
RNAcentral lists this ribosomal RNA (4286 nucleotides) under Triticum aestivum (bread wheat). Its description in RNAcentral is "partial small subunit ribosomal RNA". Lineage: Eukaryota; Viridiplantae; Streptophyta; Magnoliopsida; Poales; Poaceae. The record is from RNAcentral.